Long non-coding RNA from Apis dorsata (giant honeybee), 612 nucleotides. RefSeq lists it as uncharacterized. The record is from RefSeq and is a predicted model, not a curated record. The transcript is spliced from 3 exons. Lineage: Eukaryota; Metazoa; Arthropoda; Insecta; Hymenoptera; Apidae.
UAAUAAUUAAUUCAAAUACUUAAUAUUAAAAUUCAAUUUUAGUUCAGAAGAGAAAUAUAAAUAAAUAGAUUAAAAUAUUGCACUAUCCAUAUUUGGAUAAUCGAUUAUCGAUUCUUCGUUUCUCGAUUAUGCGUCUGCGCAUUAUGUAACAGUAAUAAUAUGCGGAUGCAUAGUCGCCAGGAUUCAAAGAGAAAAAAAACAGAGAGCGACUUGUUCAACGAACAGACUUUCUCUCAUCUCGACAUCCUUCCCUGAUGCCAACAGCUUCCUUCAAUGAUAUAACCACCAGAUAAUCAAGAAUUAGCAUUACUUAGGCUAUAGAAGCAGAUAUAUGCAUAAAAAUAAGAAAGAAAAUGCGGCAAUUUAUAACAUUCGUGUAAAUAUAAAUUCUCAUAUGCGACUACGGAAAUUCACUCAUUUCCUUCAUACAUUUCCUUCUCGCUUAAUUGCGAUUACGUUCAAUGCGUGCAUAACAACGUCAAAGAAAUAAAAAGAUUACGACACAAACGGAUUUACGCACAAUUAUGAAUACGCUCAAUUAAAUACAAUUAGACGCGAAAUAUUAAGUAUCGUAUAAAUAAAUUUAAUAAACGUGACAAAUAACUCGCGCUU